Molecule: small RNA, 125 nt
Filed under: Serratia marcescens
Lineage: Bacteria; Pseudomonadati; Pseudomonadota; Gammaproteobacteria; Enterobacterales; Yersiniaceae
Also listed under: 1 other name
Description: RtT sRNA
Rfam family: RtT RNA
About the family: This family represents a bacterial cis-regulatory element known as RtT RNA.
Source: RNAcentral
UAGCCCACUGAGUCGUGCGGGUGAGAUCCUGCGUUCAGGUUCGAGCAUCGCGCAGCGAUACGACAACGCGCAGCGUUGCCCGCAGGGUGAGGCCAAAGGCCGAAUCAAUCCUGCACGACCCACCC